GCGGGAAUAGCUCAGUUGGUAGAGCACAACCUUGCCAAGGUUGGGGUCGCGAGUUCGAGUCUCGUUUUCCGCUCAA
Molecule: transfer RNA, 76 nt
Filed under: Prevotella sp.
Lineage: Bacteria; Pseudomonadati; Bacteroidota; Bacteroidia; Bacteroidales; Prevotellaceae
Also listed under: 2 other names
Description: tRNA-Gly
Rfam family: tRNA
About the family: Transfer RNA (tRNA) molecules are approximately 80 nucleotides in length. Their secondary structure includes four short double-helical elements and three loops (D, anti-codon, and T loops).
Source: RNAcentral